RNAcentral lists this ribosomal RNA (378 nucleotides) under uncultured bacterium. RNAcentral describes it as "bacterial SSU rRNA". It matches the Rfam family "Bacterial small subunit ribosomal RNA", at positions 521 to 896 of the family's 1533-position model. The record is from RNAcentral.
UAAUACGUAGGGUGCAAGCGUUGUCCGGAAUUAUUGGGCGUAAAGAGCUCGUAGGCGGUUUGUCACGUCGGAUGUGAAACCUCGGGGCUCAACCCCGAGCCUGCAUACGAUACGGGCAGACUUGAGUACGGCAGGGGAGACUGGAAUUCCUGGUGUAGCGGUGAAAUGCGCAGAUAUCAGGAGGAACACCGGUGGCGAAGGCGGGUCUCUGGGCCGAUACUGACGCUGAGGAGCGAAAGCGUGGGGAGCGAACAGGAUUAGAUACCCUGGUAGUCCACGCCGUAAACGGUGGGUGCUAGGUGUGGGGAACAUUCCACGUUCUCCGUGCCGCAGCUAACGCAUUAAGCACCCCGCCUGGGGAGUACGGCCGCAAGGCUA